GUGUCCUGGAGGGGCUGCUGGACUCAGGGGAGGUGCCUUCUUUCUCCAGUUCUCAGUGAAGUCAGUCUUCAUCAAGAGUAAGCACAACAGAAGAAAUCACUUAGUAACUAUGUAAAGUGAGACUCGAUGAUAGAAGUAGAAGUAAUCCUGGCAUUCUAAACCAAUAAAGAGAAGAGGAAAUGGCAAUUGAAGCUAUUCCUUUGGAUCCAGAGAUGGAAGCCACAGGUUAAGGAUGGCAGACCUCCCAACCUUCCUGACUGUUCGGCUGAUUCCAGGAGAACUGAUGAGCACAGGCUGGAAGUUACCAGUUUAUCUCUUAGAAUCUACUAUUUGCUACAUGGACAUGCAGGUUCUUUUCACAUCAUUUCCAGUAUCACUCAAUUCAGGGCCUGAUCUGGAUGCAGAGUUGACGUGUGGUGUUCCAAGGUCCCAUCUACUCAGUGUUGAUAUAAUGACUCUCCAAGGUAAAGAAAUGGUCACAUAUUAACUGAGGAACUCUUUU
Molecule: long non-coding RNA, 502 nt
Filed under: Pan troglodytes (chimpanzee)
Lineage: Eukaryota; Metazoa; Chordata; Mammalia; Primates; Hominidae
Description: long non-coding RNA NONPTRT010406
Source: RNAcentral